CUGCGGAAGGAUCAUUAUUGAAAUAAACAUGAUGAGUUGUUGCUGGUUCUCUAGAGAGCAUUGUGCACGCUUGGUCAUCUUUAUAUCUCCACCUGUGCACAUUUUGUAGACCUGGAUCACUCUCUGAAAUGCUAAUCAGCAUUUCAGGUUGGAGGAAUUUGACUUUGUUGUCUUUCCUUGCAUUUCUAGGUCUAUGUUAUUUUUCAUAUAAUCUUAUUGUGAUAUAAUGGGCCCUAUAUAAUAUAAACUUAUACAACUUUCAGCAACGGAUCUCUUGGCUCUCGCAUCGAUGAAGAACGCAGCGAAAUGCGAUAAGUAAUGUGAAUUGCAGAAUUCAGUGAAUCAUCGAAUCUUUGAACGCACCUUGCGCUCCUUGGUAUUCCGAGGAGCAUGCCUGUUUGAGUGUCAUUAAUAUAUCAACCUCUUUAAAUUUUUGAGAGUGUUUGGAUGUGGGGGUUAUUUUGCUGGCCUUCUCCAAGGUCAGCUCCCCUGAAAUGUAUUAGCGGAACAAUUUGUUGACCGUUCAUUGGUGUGAUAGCAUAUCUACGCUAUUGACGUGAAGCAAGUUCAGCUUAUAACAGUCCAUUGACUUGGACAAUUACUCUAUUUAUAAUGUGACCUCAAAUCAGGUAGGACUACCCGCUGAACUUAA
This 652-nucleotide ribosomal RNA is filed under the name Cortinarius mucosus. Its description in RNAcentral is "eukaryotic LSU rRNA". The stretch from base 255 to 408 matches the Rfam family "5.8S ribosomal RNA". The record is from RNAcentral. Lineage: Eukaryota; Fungi; Basidiomycota; Agaricomycetes; Agaricales; Cortinariaceae.